This 433-nucleotide long non-coding RNA is filed under the name Mytilus galloprovincialis (Mediterranean mussel). Lineage: Eukaryota; Metazoa; Mollusca; Bivalvia; Mytilida; Mytilidae. The record is from RNAcentral.
CCAGCACAAUCUUAUCUUUUUUUAAUAUAAUAAACACUUGGUUUAGUGAUUAAGAAAACAAGUUCAUUUACAAAGAUACCGAACUCAAAGGAAAAUUCAAAACGGAAAGACCCUUAUAAAAUGUCAAAAUCAAAAGCUCAAACACAUCAAAUCAAUGGAAAGUAGCUGUCACAUUCCUGAAGCGCUUUCUCUAACCAUCCUUCAUAACUAAUGAUUAAACCGAAACAUUUAUAUCCAGGGCUGAGUAAAUACACGGAAACAUGAUAAGCUCUAUCUAUGUAACCAAUAAGGACCUAGAGAGAAUAGCCAUGUAUACAUCUAACGUCAACUUAAGCUGAGUGGGUUGAAACCUUGGUCUCUUAAUCAAGGAUCAAUAGAGUUUAUAAAAUAAAGUUAGUGCACAAUUCAAUACUCAGUAAUUACUCUUUUUAUC